RNAcentral lists this ribosomal RNA (487 nucleotides) under uncultured bacterium. RNAcentral's name for it is "partial 16S ribosomal RNA". It matches the Rfam family "Bacterial small subunit ribosomal RNA", at positions 28 to 523 of the family's 1533-position model. The record is from RNAcentral.
GAUAAACGCUGGCGGCGCACAUAAGACAUGCAAGUCGAACGGACUUAACUCAUUCUUUUAGAUUGAGAGCGGUUAGUGGCGGACUGGUGAGUAACACGUAAGCAACCUGCCUAUCAGAGGGGAAUAACAGUGAGAAAUCAUUGCUAAUACCGCAUAAGCUAGUAGCAUCGCAUGAUGUAGCUAGAAAAGGAGUAAUCCGCUGAUAGAUGGGCUUGCGUCUGAUUAGCUAGUUGGUGGGGCAACGGCCUACCAAGGCGACGAUCAGUAGCCGGACUGAGAGGUUGAACGGCAACAUUGGGACUGAGAUACGGCCCAGACUCCUACGGGAGGCAGCAGUCGGGAAUAUUGCGCAAUGGAGGAAACUCUGACGCAGUGACGCCGCGUAUAGGAAGAAGGUUUUCGGAUCGUAAACUAUUGUCGUGAGGGAAGAAAUUGACAGUACCUCAGGAGGAAGCUCCGGCUAACUAUGUGCCAGCAGCCGCCGUAA